This 410-nucleotide long non-coding RNA is filed under the name Homo sapiens (human). Its description in RNAcentral is "non-protein coding lnc-ACTRT3-5:1". Lineage: Eukaryota; Metazoa; Chordata; Mammalia; Primates; Hominidae. The record is from RNAcentral.
UUUUAAAUGCCUGGUAGCUAUAGGUUGUACUUUCCAUUAGUUAUAUAAAACAAUGGUUUUGGGGGCAAAAAAAAGAAGCAAGUUCUGAAGUUCACUCUUGAUUGCACCCACCCUGUAGAAUCAUGGAUGCUGCCAAUUUUGAGCAGUUUUUGCAAGAAAGGAUCAAAGUGAACGGAAAAGCUGGGAACCUUGGUGGAGGGGUGGUGACCAUCGAAAGGAGCAAGAGCAAGAUCACCGUGACAUCCGAGGUGCCUUUCUCCAAAAGGUAUUUGAAAUAUCUCACCAAAAAAUAUUUGAAGAAGAAUAAUCUACGUGACUGGUUGCGCGUAGUUGCUAACAGCAAAGAGAGUUACGAAUUACGUUACUUCCAGAUUAACCAGGACGAAGAAGAGGAGGAAGACGAGGAUUAA